Molecule: non-coding RNA, 108 nt
Filed under: Paraliobacillus sp. PM-2
Lineage: Bacteria; Bacillati; Bacillota; Bacilli; Caryophanales; Bacillaceae
Also listed under: 1 other name
Description: SAM riboswitch aptamer (S box leader)
Rfam family: SAM riboswitch aptamer (S box leader)
About the family: The SAM riboswitch is found upstream of a number of genes which code for proteins involved in methionine or cysteine biosynthesis in Gram-positive bacteria. The SAM riboswitch acts at the level of transcription termination control. The predicted structure consists of a complex stem-loop region followed by a single stem loop terminator region.
Source: Rfam by way of RNAcentral
CGCUUAUCAUGAGUGGUGGAGGAAUCUGGUCCUAUGAUCCCACGGCAACCGUUUGUUUCAAGCAAAUAAGGUGCCAAAUCCAGCAGCUAACUAGCUGAAAGAUAAGAA